This is a long non-coding RNA of Quercus robur (English oak), 2848 nucleotides long. RefSeq lists it as uncharacterized. The record is from RefSeq and is a predicted model, not a curated record. The transcript has 7 exons. NCBI's taxonomy places the organism in Eukaryota, Viridiplantae, Streptophyta, Magnoliopsida, Fagales, Fagaceae.
UGACCCUCUACCUCCCAUUAGAUCAGGUCUAAGCUGAUCUAGAUCUUCCAUAGCUGACCUAUAGCCGCCGAGCUCCUUCCCUGACCACUUCACCAUCUCCGCCGCGUCCAUCUCCGGCCUCUACAUUGCCAUUAAGAACAGCCUCGAUGUCGAACCCACAAGCCCUCCAUCUCCGCCUCCAUUGCGCUGACCCUCUUCCUUCAAAACAAAAACAUAAACCCAUCGCCGCCACAACCACCAUCAGAGCCGAACCCACAAGCCCACACCUCUUCCUCUUCCUCUUCUCCAGAUGGGUUUGUGAUCGAAGAGACAAAUGGGUCAUUGAACCAACCGACAGUGGUGGUUGAAGAAAAGAAGCUGAAUCGGACGGCUGAGCUCGCUACUUCGACUGGUGGAGCUUUGGCACUCGCUGUGCUUUGUAACAAAGCUCACUCACUCUAAACUCUCUCUCUCUCUCUCUCUCUCUCUCUCUAAAACCCUCCCCAAAUCCUAGCCUCCUCCUCUCUCUCUCUCUUGCUUCCAUGGAGUUUUGGGCUUGAAGGUACUCGUUGUUCUACCUACCCUGUUGUUGAAACUGGAAGUUGUUUUUGUAAAAAUUGUUUUGGUUUUGGAAAAAGUCAUUUCUAGUUUUUCUACUGACUCUGUUUUUGUUACUGUAUGUGUAAGAAUCAUGGUUCAUGGUUCAUUGUUUAUAUUUUUUUGCUGUUCUGUUGUUUUUGUGUUGGGAAAGUACUUUCUCGUUUUUCUGCUGAAUUUGGUUCUGUUUCUUUUUGUAAAAGCUGUGUUUUAUAUUUCUCAGAUUUUAGUUUUUUUUGUUUAGAGCUACUUAGUUUUUAGUUUGUAACUUGGUAUAAUUCAAAAUGAUUUUUGCAUUCUUUGUUUGAAUGUUGUAUUAUAAUUGGUGGGAUAUCUUGUAAAUUCUUUAGUAGUUUGCUUGGAUCUUGUAAAUCUUAGAUUGUAAUUCUUUUGGAAACCAUUUCAGAGUUCUUUUAAUGAAAUUUGUGAUUACUUAUAAAAAAAAUAUAUAAAAAGAAAAAACUCUCCUUGACGAAUCAGAUAUGCCUUAUAUCACUGGGUUUUAUUCUUAGGGAACAUAUAUCUACAUAGAGAGCAUAUUUUUCUUUUUGAUUGGCUGAAAAAUCAUUCUUGGUGUAGGAGAGCAGGUUUAUCCAUAUGCAUCUGCAUCAUAUUGCUUCUAUCAGUGGUCACAUUACCCAUUUGAAUAAAAAUUUUAAGACCCAAAACUUUUACAAAAGAGUCCUCUCUGCUGCCAAAUCAAUUUCCAGAGUUGGGGGACCAUGGCCCAACUUCUCUUUAUAUUUUUUUUCUUAAAUUUGAUUAAUUUCUGAUAAUCAAUGUGCUUUUGUUUCAGGUUUUUGGGUAGCCAUUGCAGGCGAGCCAGCCUGUGGUGUCUACUUCUAGAGUUUCCUCCAUUGCAGAGAAAGAGGUACAAUCAAUUAAUUGAGUCAGGUGGAUUCUAACUUAAAAGUUGGACCUGUGAGACUCUUCUGCUCUACCAACUGCAAUUUCUAAGGGCUUUCAAAGCUGAAUUGAGAGAACCAUCCAAACCAAGCGACUGGUCUCACUAGUACUAAGUCUCAGUAAGCUUUUAGUCAUGGACAGGACGAUCCUCACCUCUGAUAAAUCAUCCAACUCAUCCCCAUUGAACCCUCCUUCCCGGAUAAUUUGCCAUGUGUGCCAGAAGCAAUUAACAUAAUAUACAUGCCCUCGUUGCAAUUCACGAUACUGCUUCCUCCAGUGCUACAGGUUGUUUCCAAGACCCUGUGGCCAUCAACACCAACAACCUGAAGACGGCCACUACCCCUAGUAAUAUAAGUCACCUACAAUGCUAAGUCACAAGAAAAUCCAAGAGAGCACAUAGCACUCCAAUCCAACCUAACAAGGUCAGCUCCAAGCCCAACUUCACCAACCAAAGGAAGGUUAUUAGUGUUCAAGACCACAACCCUUCCACCUUUCUUAAUGUCCACGUCUAAUGGAGCCUCCUCACAAUUCAAUGCCAUACCCUCUCGAUGUUCUUUCUUUGGUUCAGGCAUUUUUGUUUGUGGGGAAAAUGUAGUAGGCUAGCAUGGGAGAUGGUGCUAAAAGGGCAGAAGUGUUGGUCACCAAAGGAAAAAAAGCCCUUUCUUUAGAGAAAUUCAGUUAUUAAAGGAAAGAAAAUGAGUAGGGAAAUCGUGAACUUUUGAUGCUGUGAACAGGAGGUUGCUGAAAUAUCUGGUAGGAAGGAGGAAAAGGGUGAAGCAAUUGAUGAGGACUGAAUCUGGUCUCAAAGUCCAGCAACUAGACAUUCUGCAAGAAGCAUUAAAUCUCACUGCAAAUAGGUUUGUAUUUUUUUGUUGCACAAUUCAUGUUCUAGUUCUCCCAUUAAUAACUUCAAGACUUGACUCUCUUAUUCAUUCUUUUUCACUUUAUAUGGUCAACUAUGUUCGGCAGUAUGUAUGGGUGCCUGGGGUUUUCCAAUUCACGAUUUUAUGCGAAGCCAUUGGCAGAGCUUAUAACACUACAAGUAAGAGAGAUACUUGUAGCAAAUACAUAAAUUAUAGAUCAUCAAAUGCACCAUAGAAAACCAGGUUUUCAUGUGUAUCUUAAAUUUCAACCUAGAAGUAGCCAACAAAAACUGUUGAUUGAGGCUCAAAUGACACUAAUAUGCAGCAUGUAUCCAAGGGAAAACCUUCUACAGUGUACAAAGCUCACAUUGUCAUUACAGCCUAGGAGUAGAUGAAUUACAGCCUAGGAAUAGAUGAAUUUGCAUUAAAGAUUGAUAAUUUUCCCGUAUUUGUUAGAGAUAUUGAUUUGUGACAGGUUUGAGAAAAUUCUAGUUUGAUAUUUA